RNAcentral lists this ribosomal RNA (543 nucleotides) under uncultured Streptococcus sp. RNAcentral describes it as "bacterial SSU rRNA". It matches the Rfam family "Bacterial small subunit ribosomal RNA", at positions 382 to 917 of the family's 1533-position model. Lineage: Bacteria; Bacillati; Bacillota; Bacilli; Lactobacillales; Streptococcaceae. The record is from RNAcentral.
UCUGACCGAGCACGCCGCGUGAGUGAAGAAGGUUUUCGGAUCGUAAAGCUCUGUUGUAAGAGAAGAACGAGUGUGAGAGUGGAAAGUUCACACUGUGACGGUAUCUUACCAGAAAGGGACGGCUAACUACGUGCCAGCAGCCGCGGUAAUACGUAGGUCCCGAGCGUUGUCCGGAUUUAUUGGGCGUAAAGCGAGCGCAGGCGGUUAGAUAAGUCUGAAGUUAAAGGCUGUGGCUUAACCAUAGUACGCUUUGGAAACUGUUUAACUUGAGUGCAAGAGGGGAGAGUGGAAUUCCAUGUGUAGCGGUGAAAUGCGUAGAUAUAUGGAGGAACACCGGUGGCGAAAGCGGCUCUCUGGCUUGUAACUGACGCUGAGGCUCGAAAGCGUGGGGAGCAAACAGGAUUAGAUACCCUGGUAGUCCACGCCGUAAACGAUGAGUGCUAGGUGUUAGACCCUUUCCGGGGUUUAGUGCCGCAGCUAACGCAUUAAGCACUCCGCCUGGGGAGUACGACCGCAAGGUUGAAACUCAAAGGAAUGGACGGA